CAGUAGCCGCGGGAAUACGAAGGGGGCUAGCGUUGUUCGGAUUUACUGGGCGUAAAGCGCACGUAGGCGGACUUUUAAGUCAGGGGUGAAAUCCCGGGGCUCAACCCCGGAACUGCCUUUGAUACUGGAAGUCUUGAGUAUGGUAGAGGUGAGUGGAAUUCCGAGUGUAGAGGUGAAAUUCGUAGAUAUUCGGAGGAACACCAGUGGCGAAGGCGGCUCACUGUACCAUUACUGACGCUGAGGUGCGAAAGCGUGGGGAGCAAACAGGAUUAGAUACCCCUGUAGUCCCUGUCUCUUAUAU
This 301-nucleotide ribosomal RNA is filed under the name uncultured bacterium. Its description in RNAcentral is "partial 16S ribosomal RNA". It matches the Rfam family "Bacterial small subunit ribosomal RNA", at positions 509 to 809 of the family's 1533-position model. The record is from RNAcentral.